RNAcentral lists this transfer RNA (59 nucleotides) under Lanthanaphalara mira. RNAcentral's name for it is "tRNA-Ser". The record is from RNAcentral. Lineage: Eukaryota; Metazoa; Arthropoda; Insecta; Hemiptera; Aphalaridae.
GAGUCUUAAAGAAAGCUGCUAACUAUCUUAUAGCAAAUAAUUGAUUUGUUAGGCCCCCC